AUAGUUUUUGCUGUUUACAUUCCUUUCUUUAUAAAAAAAUACACCAUAAGAGUGUUUAUUUACUUGAUUAAGGGAAAUCUGCGAAAUUUUCUUGAAAAUUCUUUAAGCAGUUAAAAAUAUGAUGAGCCUAACUGAGAGAAAUAUGAUUGUUAUAUACUGUGUACUAGGCUUGAUAAGCCUUGUGACUCCUGCUGCUAUCAACAAUACUGGGCUGGUGGUUGAUGAUAUUCCAUCGGCGCUCUUGGACUUAUCUGAAGACUUGUCCUCAUUGUAUGACAAUAAGGAUAGUGACAGAUACAUGCCUCUUGGGGCUGCUGGUUUAUUGUACCUUGAACCACAAUUGGCACUAUUCCUAACCAUCAUUGUAAUUAAUCAAGUGAUGGCAAUGAUUCAAUAGUGGGAUUGAACAUAAGUUUUACAAAAAUUCAAAGUUCAUCCCUAAAACAUUCAUUUAGAAGUAUUUUAAUAAAUUAUGUUUUUACUCUCUAA
This is a long non-coding RNA of Macrosteles quadrilineatus (aster leafhopper), 489 nucleotides long. RefSeq lists it as uncharacterized. Lineage: Eukaryota; Metazoa; Arthropoda; Insecta; Hemiptera; Cicadellidae. The transcript has 2 exons. The record is from RefSeq and is a predicted model, not a curated record.